GACGAACGCUGGCGGCAGGCCUAAUACAUGCAAGUCGAACGAACCUUUUAGGUGAGUGGCGCACGGGUGAGUAACGCGUGGGAACGUGCCCCUGGGUGCGGAACAACGUCUGGAAACGGACGCUAAUACCGCAUAAUGACUCCGGUCCAAAGAUUUAUCGCCCAGGGAUCGGCCCGCGUCUGAUUAGCUAGUUGGCGGGGUAAUGGCCCACCAAGGCGACGAUCAGUAGCUGGUCUGAGAGGAUGAUCAGCCACACUGGGACUGAGACACGGCCCAGACUCCUACGGGAGGCAGCAGUAAGGGAUAUUGGACAAUGGAGGAAACUCUGAUCCAGCCAUGCCGCGUGAGUGAAGAAGGCCAUCGGGUUGUAAAGCUCUUUCAGUAGUGAAGAUGAUGACGGUAACUACGGAAGAAGCUCCGGCUAACUUCGUGCCAGCAGCCGCGGUAAUACGAAGGGGCGAGCGUUGUUCGGAAUCACUGGGCUUAAAGCGUACGUAGGC
RNAcentral lists this ribosomal RNA (500 nucleotides) under uncultured bacterium. RNAcentral's name for it is "bacterial SSU rRNA". It matches the Rfam family "Bacterial small subunit ribosomal RNA", at positions 28 to 576 of the family's 1533-position model. The record is from RNAcentral.